AUGAUGGGCCUUCAUGCUCCUGCGGGUUAUGCUCCGGCGCCAUCGCCGUUUUACUUCUCGCAUCUCCUUUCGGUAAAGCUUACGCCGGACAACUACUUGUCGUGGCGGGCGCAGGUGCUACCCCUCCUCCGGAGUCGCUACUUGGAGGGCUAUGUUGAUGGCUCCAUCCCGUGUCCGCCGCCGUAUCAUCCGGCUCAUCACGUGUGGGUGGCUCAAGACCAGGCGAUACUUUCUGCCAUUCAGUCCUCGCUCACUCCGAGCGUAUCGUCACUUGUCAUCUUCGCCGUGACAUCUCGGGAUGCUUGGUCUGCGCUUCACAGCAGUUUUGCCUCUCAGUCUCAGGCGCGUGCUCACUCUAUCCGCACUGAGUUGGGGGAGACCAAGCUCGAUGGCCUCACUAUCACGGAGUACUUCAACAAGAUGUCCGGUCUUGCCGAUACGCUGGCCUCAAUUGGCCAGCCCCUUGGAGAUGAGGAUUUCACCACCCAUGUGCUUAAUGGCCUUGAUGAUGACUAUGAUAAUCUUAUUGAGAACGUCCAUGGUCGCGAGGCGCCUCUCCCGCCACGGGAACUGUACGCGCGUCUUCUUGGUCGCGAACAGCGCAUCAAAGCGCAUAGAGCUGCUCCGAGUUUUGCCUCCGCUAACGCCGCGACCCGCGGCAAAUCAUAG
Molecule: ribosomal RNA, 669 nt
Filed under: Triticum aestivum (bread wheat)
Lineage: Eukaryota; Viridiplantae; Streptophyta; Magnoliopsida; Poales; Poaceae
Description: partial small subunit ribosomal RNA
Rfam family: Small nucleolar RNA Z247 (bases 460-598)
Source: RNAcentral